GGCUUCUGAGUGGAGGGGAGGCAUCAAGUUAGAUGGAAUACGUUGUUGGGGUGGAGGCUGUUCGCCUCAGAGGUGCAGGAUCUGGGGCUGAAAAGAAAAACAAGCAGUAACAUUACCGGAGCUUGGGGCCGGGACCUGCCAACUCCUAUAUCACUUUUAAAAUUGCUCUUAAGCGGCUAUAUGGCCCAGCCUACCACUUGAUUCCUGUAAAGUGAGCUUGCUCAGCAGGGGCAGCUGUGGGCAUCUUGAAGAACUGCUGGCAUGGAGGGCUUGAGGAAGAGGCAGGAAGGAGCCCAUUUUCAGGGAAUGGGCUGGAGGGAGCGCUUACAGAGCAGAAAUCAGUGGCAGCUCCAACAGAGAGGCCCUGGGGGUGGGAAAAGUGGAAAUGCGACGAACUUCAAUCAAUUAACACGGACAAACUCCAAGAUUAUAUUACAUGAGGACCAGGGAGGGUGUUGUGGUGUAGCAGGCUUGGGGGAGGGCUUGACGGGAAGAGGGUAGGGCAGUGCUCCAGGUCACCCAGCACCAGUCAUCUCCUUAGCUUUUUGCUAAGAGUCCUCAGCUAUCCUUUGAGAAAACAUUAUCUGACCAUGGAAUCUUGUUUGUCAGCGAAAUGGAGAAAGAGGGGAAGUUUGGGCCUUAGCAGGUUCCCUAUUAAGUGCCUCAGAGAAAUAAUCUUUCUUUCACAGAUUAAACCAGAGUGCAGGAAAAUCUUUGUGUCUGACCCAGACAUGAGUGUUUGCAUAUUAGUUUUUUCAUCACAAGCCUCCAGAAAGGAGCUCUCUUCACCCCAAUAUUCUCUCUAACCCAGAGGUGAUAAGAAACUGCCUCAUGACAACCUUCCUGGGGAGAAAGUGAGGGGCGUGGGGGUGGUCUUUUGAAGUAGGCUUCCAUCCUCUGGUUCUGGGAUGAUCACAAGGCAUCAGGCCAGGACUCAGCUUAGCUGUGGUUCAAGACUUUGCCUGUGUGGCUUCUGUGGAAACAUACAAGGUCACCAAGGUGACGCUGUCCCCUUGUAGUCAAUACCUGAUUUUCCAACUUGAGAGAGAUUCCCUGAUGGCCUCUUUCAUCUCUGGGUCUCUGCAGCCCAGCACUGAGCUGGCACCUGGUUGGUAUUGGCAGUGCAUCCUUACAGUAUCUUGAAGGCCCAAGCCAUAGGCCCGUGUAUAAGAUCCACAUCAGCAGCUGGAUGGGGAGGCACUGGGGAGCUGAUUGAAAUCACGUGAUGGACCCGAGGAGUUGGCUCAGCAUGAGAUUUAACUACUGGAGAAGGAGCCUGAGUGGGCCUCAUUUGCUCACACUUGUAGAUAACUUGGAUGUGCCUUUCAGGAAUGUAAGAGCCGGUAGGAUGUUCCCUUCCUGCUGGACUGUGAAGGAUUGCUGGGUUGACACUGGGUUAUCUACGAGCCUUAGCAGUAAAUCCCUCUUGCCCCAAGAUCAUCAUUGCUUUCAACUUUGGAAGGAGCAGGGCUUCUGGGGAGCCCAUCAGAGGCCUUGUAUUUACAUUCCUGGGCAGAGAAAUGCUUGAAUACGUGAGGAUCUACGUGCAGGGACAGCUGCUGCAAUGUUAAAAACGUCGUUCAAUACACAGCCCCUCCAUAGGAUAAGACACAAGGCAGCUUCACCGAGAGGGAGGGCGGCGCGUCGCUGAGGAGGAAACCGCGGUCCAUUCAUUGAAUCUGCUCUGCUCCUUCGGUGUGUGCACCUGGACCUCAUUUCUGUUUUUACAACAAACUUCCGUUUGUGUACAUGAAACUACAUGUGUUUGUGCUUGGAAAAAAGUCUGGAAGGACCCACACGUGCUCGAGCACUUUCCUCUGGAGGAUGGGAUUCAGAGUGGGCUCGGAGAGGAGUCACACUAUUUGACUCUCUGGGGUAUGAUUUGAAUACAUAUGUAUUCUGUGAUUUAAAAGGAAGAGGAAAGGUUGUAGGAUAUGGAAGGAUGAGGGAAUGUUGCACUAUGGGAGCUCAGAUUCAUUCGCCUCUAGGGAGCAAAGGCCAAUGGCCUGAGUGGAGGAGACAGGGUGGGGGUGGGCGGGCAAGACAUCUACGGAUGGCAAAGAUCUUUCCAGAAGUUUUCUGGAGAGUGGCUUUUUUGAAAGAGGAUGCUAGCUAAGAGGCAUGGUGGAGGUAAGGUCUUAGAGCUAAUUGGAGGGAGGUGGCAAGUUGGUGGGAAGAAGGGAGGGAGGUAAGAUCAGAAAUAAUUUCUUGGGACAUUGGGGUGAGGGAGACUCGGCUGGAGGUGAACCCAAGAGCCCAAGCGGAGGAAUUGUCCUAAAAGGGUGAGAAGGGUUCUGGGGGUGAGGGAGGGGAUUGGGGUGGAUAACCUGAGGUGGGAGGGCCAGGGAAGGGAGUUCAGAGUUGAUGACCCCGGUUCUUAUCAGGGAACUGAGUGGCUAUGUCAUGGAAAGGGACACGGCUGGGGCUGCGGACAAUGUUCUAAGGGUAAAGGUCUGGGAAAAAGUGUUCCUGAAUGGACUGCUCCCUGGCGGUGGAGGGGGGCCCAGCUGCCUGGUGGAUUACACCUCUGUGAUGGGAAAACCUGGCAGGCAGUUCUUUGUUUUUCUCUUGUUGGAACCCAAGUGCAAGACCAGAGAAAAUGAAAUUUCACAUGGUUCCCAGGCUAGGCACUGGCCCAGAGGGAAGGGAAGGGGAGGGCUUUCGAUGGACUGACCACAAGGCAGAGAAACAACAAGAACAGAACUGGAGACCUGGGAGCUGGGAAGGGCAGCUGUAGAGAUGAGCCCUGGAGAGAAGGGCUUCUACAGCUGGGCUUAGAAGGGCCUCUCUACAACCUAGGAUGGCCCCUUAAGUGAUGUCUGGGCUCAAGGUGUGGCUGUGGGGAUGGGUUGCCCAAGUGGAAAAGAGUGAGGACCAAGUCCCUCAGAAGCUGUUAAAAUCAUCACGGUGGGGGCAGUAUGAAAGCGAAAGUUGCUCAGUUGUGUCCAACUGUUUGAGACCCCAUGGGCUUUAUAUAUAGUCUAUAAUAUAGGUCAGAACCCUGGAGUGGAUAGCUGUUCCCUUCUCCAGGGAAUCUUCCCAACCCAGAGGUGGAACCCAGGUCUCCCACUUUGCA
Odocoileus virginianus texanus is the source of this 3076-nucleotide non-coding RNA. Lineage: Eukaryota; Metazoa; Chordata; Mammalia; Artiodactyla; Cervidae. The record is from RefSeq and is a predicted model, not a curated record.